CCUUAAAAACUAAUGCAUGGAUGACCAGACCAUACGAUAAAGAUGAAGAGCAGAAAAAAGACAAUAGAAACUGAAAUUGCAUUUAAUAGAUAGUAAGAACAGUUACAUUACAAGGACAUUGACUCUGCUAAGUUCCUAAGAAAAGAGGUUUAGCCUCUCAUAGCCAUGAGAGACUUUACACUUUAAGGGCUAAUGGAAGAGGGGGUUGGAUGACUAGAAGCAAGAAAGGGGGGAAUGACUAAAGAAAUAUGGUUUCUCCUAAGGGAGAGGCUGAGGCUUUAGA
This 283-nucleotide long non-coding RNA is filed under the name Glycine max (soybean). RNAcentral describes it as "long non-coding RNA (GMAX_LNC003128)". Lineage: Eukaryota; Viridiplantae; Streptophyta; Magnoliopsida; Fabales; Fabaceae. The record is from RNAcentral.